RNAcentral lists this long non-coding RNA (14620 nucleotides) under Nicotiana tabacum (common tobacco). RNAcentral describes it as "long non-coding RNA (NTAB_LNC019012)". Lineage: Eukaryota; Viridiplantae; Streptophyta; Magnoliopsida; Solanales; Solanaceae. The record is from RNAcentral.
AACUGCCCAUAACCUCACGAGUCUAUAUAUUUAUUUUGUUUUAAAAUCCGAGUCCAAAUCGACUCUCAAAACUCAAAUUCUCAUAUUUCAAAGCAUAGAUAAAGUUUAUCAAAAUUUCACUUUGAUUCUCAUAAUUUUGAUGUUAAAUCUCCUAUAUAAACAUGUAAGAUAGUUGGAAAUUGAUUAAAAUUACUUACCCAAUGAUUGUAUAUAAAAAUCCCUCUUCAAAAUCGUCUCCUGUCGAGUCUAGGGUUCAAAAAUAUGAAAAUGAGACUAAAAUCCCGUCCCUCGGCUUUUAUGUCCAGUCGCAGGUGUUGCAAAUGUGACAUUUGGGAACCCCGAAAAUGCAAGGAAAUGAUCACAAAAGAAAAGACCCUCACACCCAUGUUGUCGUCGCUAAUGCGAACUUUGAACAUUUCACAAAAGUGACCAUUUGGUCGCAAAAGCGAUCCCUCCCCAGCCCACGCCAUUAUCCUAAAUGCGAUUGGGAGUUCGAAAAUACAAACUCUUCAGGACACAUUGUAUUUCGCAAAAGAGAAGGAGAACCCACAAAUGUGAGUGAUGAAAAUGUGACAUAUUUCUCGUAAAUGCGAGAUCAGAAACACCAGAAAAAUUUGAACCUUCUAUGAACUCUCUGGAACGCGUCUGAAACUCACCCGAUCCCUCGGGGCUCCAAACCAAACAUCAAUAUAAGUCUAAAAAUAUAACAUGAACUAGCUCGCAUGAUCAAACCAUCAAAAUAACAUUUGAACCCAUGAAUCGGACCUCCUACACACAUGAAAUCUACAAUGAAACUCAAGAACUUCUAAAAAUGCAACCGCACGUCCGAUUCCUAUCAAAUCAACUCGCAAUGACGUCAAACUUUGCGGACAGGUUCCAAGUGACAAAACGGACCUAUUCCAAGUUCCAAAUAUAAAUCCAAACAUGAUAUCUAUGAAGUCAACCUACGGUAAAACUUCUAAACCUCAAGCUGCCAAUUUUCGACAAAAUAACACAAAUCAACCUACGGACCUCUAAAUUUGAUUUUGGGAAUACUCCCAAAUCUAAAAUCAUGAUAAGAACCUAUAGGAGCCAUCAAAAUACUAUUCUGGGGUUAUUUUCAUAAAAUUCAAACCUCGGUCAACAUAUUCAACUUCUAAAGUGAGAAUCACUUAUCCAAAUAUAUUCCGAAACAUCCAAAAAUCAAAUCUGACUAUGCACACAAGUCAUAAUACACAAUAUGAAACUACUCAAGACUUCAAUACACUUAAUGGAACCUUAAAGCUCAAAACGACCGAUCGGGUCGUUACAUGCUCGGAGUAGAUUCUGGAUUGCUUGAUGCCUUAUUGAAUUGUGUAUUCUUUUUGACUUAUGCUUCACUUGAUUCCUAUGAUAACAUGAGCACAAAUAUCUAUACUAGAGAUCAUAUAUUAAUUUAUGAUAUCCUAAUUAAACAUGAUGGACUAUUCUUAAGGUUGUUAACUUACUCGAUUUGGUUGAGGUCAUACUUUAUAUCAUGAAUAUAUAUAUAUAUAUAUAUAUAUAUAUAUAUAUAUAUAUAUAUAUAUAUCCAUUAUUCUUGUGAUACUUGAGUUUCCAUAUUAUUGCUAAAGAGCAUGCUUAUGUUUUGUUGAGAUACUUGAACAUUAUGGUUCUUAAAAUAUUGGCUUGUCUAUUGAUGCAAAAGUUAGGAUUAUCUCUCACAUAGAGUAUUAGUCUUAAUCACUCUUCUUAAUGUUAUCUAUGCUUUUUACCUUGCAUGUUACCAUUUUAUAUAUGCUUGGUGAGGAAGAGUAUAUUGCAUGAAGGGUAUUUUCAUGCUUGUGAGGAAGACUGAUUUAUGCAUGAAGGGUAUUUUCAUACUUCUUGACAUUAUUAUUAUUGCACGAAGAAUGUUUUCGUUCUUGGUGAGGAAGAGUGAUAUGAUAUUGGCACGAAUGAUGUUUCCGUGCAAGUGAGGAUGAGAGUUCAUGGCAUGAAGGGUAUUUUUGUGCAGGCGAGGAUGAGAUAGAUGCAUUAUAUUGUGUUAUCCUUCCCAACACAUAUACAUUUAUGUCUUUUACCUGGGUUGUUAUUUGCAUCUAUGCUUUCUAUCUUGUUUGUUGUUGUUACAUCUAUGCCUUAUAUAUUGCUUGUUAAUGUUAUCUAUAUGCCUUUUAUCUUGUUUAUUACUGUUAUCUAUAUGCCUUCUAUCUUGUUUAUUACUGUUAUUCAUGUGCCCUCUGCCUUGUUUGUUAUUGCCAUCUACAUGCCUUUUGCUUUGUUUGUUACUAUUAUCUACAUGUGUUGUUCCUUGUUUAUUGUUGUUACAUCUAUGUCUUCUACCUUGGUUGUUGUCCCUACUUCCAUUCCUUCUACCUUAUUCUUUCUACUAGUUAUAUGUCUUUUACCUGGUUUGUUAUUGUUAUACAUAUGUUUGGCGAGGAUGAGAUAAAUGCACGAAGGAUGUUGCCAUGUCAUUUGAUGUGACACACAUAAAUGCUUGGUGAGGAUGAGAUAAAUGCACGAAGGUUGUUGCCAUGCCAUUUUAUUUGAUAUCUUGUACAUAUUUCUUUUAUUAUAUAAAUUUGUGGAUAUGGCUUAUGUUGCUUUACGGAUAUCAUUUCUUCCUCAUAGACUUGCUUGAUUGAGAAAGGUUUGGUUGUUAUAUUUGUGAAACAUGCUUGUUAUUUCUCUUAUAUGAUCCUUUAACUAUUACUUGUCUUUUCCCUUGUUAUUUCUCUUGCUUAUGAAUUGCACAGGCUAUAUUAGUGAGUAUCUUUUGACUUAAAAACCUCACCACUACUUUACUGAGAUUAGUCAAGAUACUUACUGAGUACAUAGGGUCGAUUGUACUCAUACUACAUUUUUGCACCUUGUGUACAGAUAUUUAGAACUAAGCGAUUGCGGAGUUCGAGGUCGGGCAUUGAAGACUAAUGCGUUCCAGCCAUCUACUAUCAUUUGUUCAUGGUAGAAUAUGACUUAUAUUUCUAUUUGUGUAAAUUUCAAAUAGACGAUGUAACUUUCUGCAUAUCAUAGUUGUAUUCUUAUUCUUAGUCGCUCAUGGCUUAUAUUACCAUUCCAUGGAAUAGUUGUAUUACUUUUUGUAUUCUUAUAUUAUUUAUUAAUUUGAUAAUUUCCAAUUUGGGUAGAGGUAUAUAUUAGUUGGCUUACCUAGUAUGUUGGGUUAGGUGCCAUCACGACUUGGUGGGAUUUUGGGUCAUGACAUAUACUAUAUACCAAAAUAAUAUACUAUAUAAUAUUUUGGUAUAUCAAAACUAAUUCAAUAGUAUACAAUUAAUUGCAAUAGUAUACUAUUACAGUAUAUAGUAUAAUACAUCAGUACACUAUUAAACGAAGAACACAAGAUACAAUUUUGAUAUAAUAUAUGUCAUUUUGGUAUAUAAUGUAUAAAUCAAUAGUAUACAGUUUAUACAACAGUAUAUUGUUAUAAUAUAGAAUAUAAUGUAACAUUAUACUAUUAUAGUUGGGUCCUUUUAUAUUAUUUUUUUCAACUAGGUCCUUUUUAAAAUUUUCGACGAAGUUCUUAUGCUUUUUCAAAUAUUUUCUUAAAUGAAGUAUUUAAUGGAGUUCCAUGGGGGUAUCAUUCACUGUAUUAUAAGUAAGAGUAGGAAAAAACAUAAAAUAGUAAUAUACAUAUUUGAUGUAUUAUAUACCAUGCUAGUAUACUACUGUAACGACCAAACCAGUCGUUUUUGGCAUUUGCAUUCCAUUCAACUAUUUGAAGUCUUGAGCAGGAUCGUAUGAUGUAUUAUGACUUGUGUGAAUCGCCGGUUUUGGUUUUCAGGUUAUUCAGAAUUAAUUUGGUAGAAUGAUUCUUAACUAAGAAGCUUUAAGUUGGAAGAGUUGACCAAGUUUGACUUUUGAGUAUUUGAUCCCGGAUCGGAGUUUUAAUGGUUUCGUUAGGUCCGGAUGGUAAUUUUGGACUCGAACGUAUACCUGGAUUCACAUUUGGAUAUUUCUAGAAGGUUUCGGCACUAAUUGGCGAAAGUUAGAAAUUUGAAGAUUUGGAAUGUUUAUAAGUUUGACCGGGAGUUGACUUUGAUGAUAUCAGGUUCGGAUUGUGGUUCCGGAAAUUAGAAUAGCUUUGUUAUGUUAUUUGGGACUUGUGUGCGAAAUUUGAGUUCAUUACGAGUUGAUUUGAUAAGGUUCGGCACGAGUUUUGGAAGGUGAAAGAUUCAAAGUUCAUUAAGUUCGAUUUGAGAUGCGAUUCGUGGUUUUGAUGUUGUUAUGCGUGAUUUGAGGCCUCGAGUAAGUCCGUGUUAUGUUAUGUGACUUGUUGGUAUGUUCGUAUGAGGGUUCCAAGGGGCUCGAAUGAGUUUCGGAUAGGUUUGGGUUGUGUUGCGCUCGUUUUUGAUGUUUCAGCGUCGUUUCUUCAAGCAUAGAUGGUACCACAUUAGCAAAUGAGCUCCAAUUUCUGUUUUGAUUGAAUAUUUAUAUCUGUAUUGUAGUUUUGGAACCAUAGCAACCAGAAUCAUCAAGUUUCGACAUCGUAUGAGGAAUUUAUGGUCAUUUUACUAAGAAUUGGGUUGCUAGCUUUUUUAAAAUUAAUUAUGAAAUUGCCACUGAAUUCGUAUUAAAAAGUCUGCACUAUUUCCAAAUAUUGAAACAAGCAUAUCUCCUUCAAUAUAAGGUCAAAUGGAGUAAUUCAAGAGCCUAACUUGACUAGUAUUUCACAAAGAAUCCAAUGGAGGCAUUAAAAAUAAGUUUCGAGAUCAUCUGGCACAAGAAACAAGGCAGAACGAUAUUAAAUUAAGGUUUUAGUUUUUUUAUCAUAUUUUGAGAUUUGGGGCUCAGAUUGAGAUGAUUCUGUAAGCAAUUUUUAUCACACAGAUUGGGGUAAGUAUUCUACACUCGGUUUUGGUUAUAUUUCGUGAAUCUAUCUUUAUUUUGGCAAUUGGUUGAUGAAAUUUAAAGAGGAAAUUGAGGAUUUUUGUCUAAAAUUUCAUAAAGUAAAUUUUCGAGUUUUGAACACCGAUUUGGAGUAGGAAUUGAAUGAAACUAGUAUUGGACUCGUAAUUGAAUGGGUUGUCGAAUUUUAUAAGUUUCAUCGGGUUCUGAGGCGCAAGCUCGGGUUUGACUUUUUGGCCGAUUUUGGGCUUUUGAGUAAAGAUUCGACGUUUAUCAAUUGAAAUUAUUUCCUUAGGCAUUAUUUGAUGUUCUUGAGUUGCUUUUGGAUAGUUUCGAGCCGUUUGGAGGUUGGUACAUGCGGGACGGCAUUUUUGGAGUAUCGUUUGGCUUGCUCGGUAUUGGAUUCGGCUUGUUCGAGGUUAGUAACACUUCUAAACUUGGUGCUGAGGGUAUGAAACCCCGAAUUACGUGUUAUGUGUUUGGUGUUGGGGUGACGCACAUGCUAAGUGACAGGCGUGUGGGCGUGCACCAUGUGAACUGUGACUCCAUUAUUUCUGUGGUACUGUGUAGUUGCCUGAUCUUAUCUGUAACCAUGUAAUCUCUACGUACUAGAGCUAUUGAGCUGUGAUCCAUGUUAGAAAUUAUGUCUAGGCUACAUGCUUAUUCUGUUGGGACCCACUGAGAUCAUUUCUGCUGUUGAGUUAUUUGCUUACAUUGCAAUUGCAUACUCAGUCGUACGCAUUCAUAUGCAUAUCAUAUCUUAGUCUCUGUUACCAUUUAUUGAUACAUCACAUCAUUAUUUUUGGGCUAAUUUUAUGACAUUGUGAGCCCGAGAGACUGAAGAUAUUGAUGACUGAGCGAGGUCGGGGGCCUGAUUGUGAGGAUAUUAAUUUAUGAUGGGAGCGGGCUACACGCCGCAUUAGAUGUUAUUGAUUUACGCCAUGAUUGUCUUAUUAUAGUGCUUGGGCUGAAGGAGCCCCUCCGGAGUCUGUACACACCCCCAGUGAGCGCAGGUACCUACUGAGUGCGAGUGCCGAGAGCAAGUGCCGAGUGAUUGGAAGGACUGAGUGACUUUGAGGACUGAGUGACUGCGAGAAUUGAGUGACUGGGAGGACUGAGUGACUAGGAGGACUGAGUGAAUUGAUACUCUGAGAGUAUGGAUAUGAUUUUAUCACUGAGCUGCAUCGCAUUCGACAUGCACACUUGACAUACAUGCAUAUAGAUGCGUUUUCCUCAUGUUGUACGGUAUCAUGUCAUUCAUGACUUUUCAUACACAUUGACAUGUAGGCGUAGAGAUGUAUUUUCCUCAUGCCAUUUGAUAAUAAAACAUCUUUUUGUUGUUGAAACGGUUUGGAAAAAAUCACAAUUUUACAAACCUACUCAUAUUUUGGUGAUUUCGGUAAAAAGAAAUUGGGUUUUCACUGAUAUACUUGAAAAAUAUGCCUAUUUUUUCGGAACUGUGAACGAACUGAGCAUCUUAUAUCUGAGUAUUUUUCUUGUACCAUUCUUAUUAUUUUGUUAUGAACUGUUGUUGGCUAUUGGUGUUGGACUCCGACCUUUGUUCCAGCUCGUCACUACUUUCAACCUAAGUUUAGGCUUGUUACUUAUUGAGUACAGGGGGUCGGUUGUACUCAUACUACACUUUUACACCUUGCGUGCAGAUUUGGAUGCUGACGUUGCUUUGCAUGAUGGGAGCUAGCAUUGAAGACGUACCUGCAUUUCGGUUAUAGCUGCCUCUUGUUCAUGGUAACUCUAGACUUAUGAAAAAUCUAUUUAUGUAUUAUUCGGACAGAUGAGGUAUUUAUUCAAUACUAGCUUUGUAAACUCUAAAUCUUAGAAGCUCAUGAUUUGUACUACCAGUACUUGAGAAAUUUUUGUAUAAAAGCAAUUAUAUUAUAAUUUCUUUUCUUGAUAAAUCUCAUUAAUUUGGAUAGUUGUUAAUUGGCUUACCUAGCGGGUUGGGUUAGAUGCCAUCACGAUUGUGAGCACUUAAUUUUUUACUAUAUUUAAAUUUUUCAUCACUUUUUAGUAUGUAAAUAUGUGCAAAGUUUAAUCUUGAUUUUUAGCCUUUAUUUCACUUUUUAGUAGAUUUAUUUAAUAAAAUUAAAAACUACAAAAAGAGUUACAUUUUUAAGAGUAUUAGUUUUAUUUUCAUUCACAAAGAAAGAAAAGUUUCCAAAAAUAUAGUUUAAUACAAUUUUUAAGUUAGAGGUUUGAGUGUAGUAAUUUUACUUGCUUUAUUUACUUAUUUAAUAGGAGUAGAUUAUUUUGCUUAUUUAUUAUCAAGAAAGAAAAUACUAAAAAAAAAACAACAAUUAUAAUUGAUCACUUGUAAAAGAUUCUUCCUAACAAAUUCCCACUUUUCUCGGUAGCUUCUCACAUAACCUACUAUCAAUCUCUCUCAUUCACGUUUUAUUCCAUAAAAGUUUACACAUGUGCACUGAGUUUCUGAUUUUCAUUUUUUUUUUUACUUUUUACAUAUGAUUCAUCCUCAUCCCACAAUCACAGCUCUCUCACGGGAGGAUAGGGAAAAAUACAUAACACCUGUAUCUUGCUCUCCAAGAUUUUUUGGGGUCAUUCUUAUCCAUAUACACACAUACACAUCAGACACACACCAGGGAUCCUUCCUACUCAUUUUCCUCUCCGUUACCAAUAUAUAAGCACACACCCAGUUCAUUAUAGGGGGGACGAGAGAAAACGAGAGAGAAAGGGGGCGCAUUAUGAGUAAAAAUUGUCAGUAGCAGCCAAGACUCUCCUUUCUUCUCCAACUUAGCGUGGCCAUGAAAACUAGUAAAAACCUCCCAUAACUCCAGCAUCUAUCUUCCAUGAAAACACCAAUUCCCACCAUGAAACUCCAUAGAGCUGACCAUCACUGUCCACCCCCAAACUCCGGUUGAAAAACAGCUUCAAACACAACUAGAUCUCUAGCAAAACAACCCCCCAAAACCAGCCACUAAAUAGCCACAAAACAAUUCGUUUGAGUUUAAGUUCGAGACUUCCUUGUUCGAGGUUGUCGUCGUCAAAUUUUCCUGUCAGUUGAGUCUUCCGUUGGUUCCCAGGCGAGGUUUCGUCAUUGGCAAGGUCCCCGAUCUGAGAUCAGUGAGGGUUCCCGGCGAGGUUCUUUUUGGCUUCGAGUCAGAGUUUCCCUCUUUUCUGCUUUUGGAUAAUCGACAUGAUUUUCUGUACGUUGGCUUGGAGUUUUCUGCUAAUAUAAGGUCCCCUUUCUCUUCUUUAACAUGCUUCUUAGUUCCAUGAUAUUUGCUACAGUUUUAUUUGCCGAAUGAAAGUUAGAUGAUAUUCUUGCUAAAACUUGAUUACUAUAGUAUGUCUAAGUCACGUAUCUAUCUAAGAAUUUUCAUGGGUUAGAUGUAUAUUUUUAGUUUUUAUGAGUUUGAAAGUCAUGUGUAGAAGUAGGAAGGGCUAUUUCCUUUGUUAAAAUUGAAAUAAAGUAAUCUGAAAUUUGUUAAAGAGAAGUAGAUUUGUGUCUGCUAACAGAGGUUGAAAUAAGGUGUGGGUUUAGUGAAAAUGACAGCCGUUGGGAUAAUUUUGAACUUAAAAGGAUCUGGGCUAAAAUUCAUGAGUCCAAAACGUUCUUCUCCAUUUUUUGUGUUGCAUAUUUCCAAAUAACCGAAUCAUACCAUUUCUUCCCACAAUAAUUUUCAUAACUCUUAGAACUGUCGCAAAUAAUCUCAAACUUAGGAAACUAAUCAAUUUACAAACACUCGUAAGAUGCUUUAGGCGCGUUCUAAUCUAUUAUCGUAUUUGUGUACACGUUCGUGUGACAUAAUUAUGAUUCCAAAAAAUAAAAAAAGGUACGCGUUCGCGUGACUUUAGCUAAAAACAAUCUUCAUAAUUAAUAAAGCGUGAUUAAUUGUGUAGACGUACGCGUGACAUGAUUUUAGCGCACUAAAUAAAGCGGAUUCACACACAUGUGGUUCCGUUUCACAGAUUAAAUCCAUUACGCCAUAAUUAAAAGCGGUAAAAAGGUAAAUGUACAUAGGUUCUAAAAUAAGUAAUUAAACAAAUUAAUUAAGCUAGGUAUGAUUAAAGCGACCGUGCUAAAACCACGGAAUCCGAGAAUGCCUAACACCUUCUCCUAGGUUAACAGAAUUCCUUACCCGGUCUUCUGAUUUUCGCAGACUUUAAACAUAGUCAAAUUUCCUCGAUUUGGAAUUUUAAAAUAAAUCAGUGACUUGAGACACCAUAAUAAUUAUUUCAAGUGGCGACUCUAAUUAAUUAAAUAAUCUCAUUUCGAAUAAUGUCACUUUAAUUGGAAAAACUCCCUAUCCCCUCGGAAAAAAGGAGGUGUGACAACGACUAGUUGGAUUUUGGGUCAUGACAAGUUGAUAUCAGAGCUCUAGGUUUGUAAGUUCUAUAAGUCAUGAGCAAGUGUCUAGUAGAGUCUUGAGGAUCGGUAUGAUGACGUCCACACCUAUCUUCGAGAGGCUACAGGGCAUUUAGGAUAAAUUUUUCAUCUUUCUUUCCUUAUCGUACGGCAUUGAUUCAGCUUGAAGCGUAACUCUUUGAAUUCCUUCCAUGCACUCGUAUGCGCAUGUGAGCGCUCGGUAUCAGCUGUGCAUCAACGGCUUGUGAUUUCAUGGAUGAGGUACGAGAGGUAAUUUUGGUGUGCUGGUGAUGGGCCAGUAUGGAGGACUUGAGGCCGGGUUUUGACUGUAGCUUGAGCACGGGGAUUUCGGUUGUGUGAGCAUGUGCUUUUGAACUUAUAAGUCUGGUAGUGUCCCUAUUAGUGAAAUUUGUGGCUCGAUGAGUGGUUGGAUGGCUAAAUGAUGAGUAUGAUAUGACUGCGGGAUGUGUUAAGAUGAAUUAAAUGUGACGAGAAGAGUUUGCUUGAGAUAUAAAAAGGACUAUUGGGUGCUUGAUUUCUGUCUUGAUGUGACGUAUAGUCUCGAGUUAUGAGUGUAUUCGAGGAUCUUUCAUGUUAUUUAAAUGUGGAAUGAAUUAGGUUCUCAUGCCUUGUUGGUGAGUUCAGACUCAGGAAGAUUAAGUGAUUGCAUAGUAGUUGUGCCUGUGAAAGGGUAUAAAGAGAUGUCAGUUUGAGGCUAAGCAGGUGGGUUGUAACCUACGAGAUAAUCUACGGAUGUGUGAUUUUUAUGAUGUUGUGUGGAGGCUUGUUUUUCUGACAAUGGGUUAUAUUUGUGCGAUUUGAGUUUGGAUGAGUUGUAAUAGUUGACCUGACCGUCACGAGGAUGAAUGCAAGAUUUGCAGAUGAUUUGAGGUAUUAGAUGGAUUUUGUUAUAUGAGCUUAUAAAGGAUUUAGUUGAAUCUCACUGCGGUAUUAUGGAAGUAAUGAGGUAUGGUUAUUGUAAGUUAUCAGAUGUUUUAUUCCAUGGAUUUGAGCUAAGUGGGGGAGUCUUCUAUUCGACUGGUUGAUUGCAUAAUUAUGUAUUGUAUUGGUUUCGGUUUGAGGUAUACUUGUGAAUCGGUUAUGACUUGCAGAGGUUGAGAUCGAGGAUGACUCGAGAAAGGGAACUUCUGGAUACGGGUUGUAUUACACUCUAUGGGUAUAUGGAAAUCAUGGAAUGAUUUGAGUUGUUAUUCGUGACGGAUGUAGUGCGCAUGGUAUAGGUAUUUGCUCGGUUGCAUUAAGGCGAGGUUACUUCAUUGGGUGUUGUCGUGCUAAUGGGGCACAAGUCGUUCGGCCCGUUUGGGCGGUGCAAUUGAGAUUUGAGUAGAGUGAAUGACUCUCGAGGAGGUCCUAAUAGAUUCAAGAUUAUAUGCAGUAAUUGAGAAUUUUUUGGAUUUGUAUAUGGUUAAGAUCUGAGAUUCACAUUGGAUGGAGCCAGGACUUGCGGUAUUUCUGUAUCACUAUGGAUUCUGCAUUUCAGUAUCAGGAAUGUGAAGUUAACGGCUUUAGGUUCACAAAAGGUCUUUUCAGAUUGGGUGUCUCGGUUUUGGUACUUUUGGGGUGCUUAAGAAGGAAUACAACUGCUUAUGGCCUUUAGACCGUGUGGUUUUAUGUUAGGAACUCUUGUGGUGAGGUUUGGGUAAGGAUCGUGAUGUUCUAGCAAGGAGAAGUGUCACCUUGAGGGUAAUUCAGAAGGAACUCGGAGAAAUGGGACAACUUGGUAGUAGGUUGGAUCAGCACGACAAUGGAUACGAUCGGUUCUUUGGGUACUUAUGAUGUGGUGAGUGUCUACAGGUGUUUGUGGCAAUACUGGUUUGGCGACCUGCAUAGCUUGGUUGAAUGAGGGAGGUUCAGUUCUGGUGGCUUCGUUAUGUGCAAAUGGGUUCCAAGGAGUUCUCGAUGGUUUUUACCACGGUUUGAGAUGGAUAUUUUCUACCGGAGUGAGGAGCAUGUUGUGUAUUGUGAUUUUCUCCUGGAUGGGAUCAAAUAGAAGGUUUUCGAAUGACCGGGAAUGUAUUUUUCUUGUGACUCAGAGUUGAUUAUGAGAUUCUCGUACUUUUCAUAUGAUGGCAUGAUAGAUGCGGUGUGUUGUGUGGGAUUGAGAUUUGCAUGUGCAAGGUCACAGUUAAGUUUUGAAGGGAAGGUCAUGAAUUCUUAGGUAACAUGGACGGUUUCAAAUGACUAGAUGAAUAAUAUUACUACUUGGAAUUGCCUGAGCAGAGUGUACAUUUAGAAGACACGCUACAUUUUGACCUAUGGAUGCUUCAUUGGUAUUGUGGUACUCGUCUGGUUGAUCGACUGUUGAUGUUCGAAUUUUGCUAUGUGGCACGGAAGAAUUAUGAAAGUAUUUCUCGUAGAAAGAUUAUGUAUGAAGGAUGUAUCAGUCACUUGAGUGGUGGAGAUGGGAUCAUAUAUGGUGAUUCUUUUGUAUUUUGGUAGUUUGGAGACUGGAGUCUCAGAGGCAGAUUGUUCCUUGGUUGCAGACUGUGAAGGUAUGGCCAAAGUCAGAUAUCUAAUAGUAGGUGUUAUGGUUAGGCCAUUGAGGACUUCUGGAGGGUUAUUUAUCUAUCUAUGGAUGGCCGAAUCAAUUUGGGGGCCCAUUGGUAGGCCAAUGAGGAUGUGUAUUCUACACCGGGUCGGAUUUGUUGACUCAGCACGGUUAGUGUUGAGGGGUGAAUAAUUCGAUUAGAUUUGAGCUUGUUCAAGUUCUGAUAUGUUCUAUGUGUUACUCAUCUAUGCUACGAGGGAUGGUGAUUCAUUGAUUAUAUGCACACAUGGUGCAGUUCAGUUUGGGCCUUAUAGCGGAAUUUGAGCGAGAUAGGUAUUAGGGUGUUGAAUGAUUGAUUGCGCAUUGGUUAUGUUCUUUAUGGACUGUGGUAUAUAGUGUUAUUCGCCUCUUCAUGGUUAUAGCCAAGCACUUUGUGUACUUGAUGUCAAAUUGCAUGUAGUUAUUGAUUUUGAGGAUUGUGGAUUGAGGUAUUUUCAUAUGGACCGAUGUUUGGAUGGGUCACGCAUUGCAGCGGGGCUAUGUUGGGAUAUGAUCCUUUGUGUUAGAUUCAUGUGUCUUAGUCCUACUAUGGGUGAUGGGGUUCAUAGCAUUGAGUUGUGGUGGUACUUGUUGAGCUUGCGGGAUGGUUCUCUCAUUUGAGUCAUUUUCCAUGAUUGAAUACAUUUGAAAUGUUUCUUAUUGGUGCACGGAUUACACGGUUUAUGGCUUUAGGUUGUAUUGGUAUGGCAUGUCAAUAGAAUGGUUGUGUUGGAUGAGAUGAGGUCAUUGGACCUAGAAUGGGUAGUAUCAGAUUUGAUUACAGUAUGUAUGGAGAAAUAAUUUUAGAAGUCAGCUUAGAAUUUGGCUUUGGGUUCUUCCACGACUUGUUAAUAUGAUAGGUGGUUAUGAGUUUCUAUAUGUUUCUUUCAUCAUUGGCAGUGUACGAAGGUUCAGAACAAGAUUUUAAUUGAUAUGAGGUUUGUUAUCGGUGUCGGGUUUAUUUUGAACAACUAUUGUGAUUGGGAAUUAGUGCUAUGAGUAUGCGAGUUGUAUGGUAUACAUGUGAUUACAUCUUGGGUUAUGGUUAUGGCUUGAUACGGUUUGGUCAGACUUAUAUAGUGUGUAAAUGCGAGAUUCGAGUCUUGCAAGGAAUUUCAGGUGUUGGGAAUUGGGUUCUAAGGCUUAUGGUCUAAUGUUAAAGUAAUGAUCUUCAGUUAGGUUGUGUUGUCAGGCUUAUAUGGAUUGGGGUGGUGUGGGAUCACCCCCGGGAAUGUGCAUGGUAAGGUUACAUGGCAAUUUGAUGGCUUUGGAACGACUCUUGGCACGUUCGAGGACGAACAUAUGUUUAAGUGGGGGAGAAUGUAACGAUCCAGUCGGUAGUUUUGGGCAUUUGCAUUCCAUUCAGCUAUUUGAAGACUUGAGCAGCAUCGUAUGAUGUAUUAUGACUUGUUUGAAUCGUCGGUUUUGAUUUUCAGGUUAUUCGGAAGAAUGAUUCUCAACUAAGAAGCUUUAAGUUGGAAGAGUUGGCCAAGUUUGAAUUUUGAGUAUUUAACCCCGGAUCGGAGUUUUGAUGGUUCUGUUAGGUUCGGAUGGUGAUUUUUUACUCGGGCAUAUAUCCGGAUUCGCAUUUGGAUAUUUCUAGAAGGUUUCGACACUAAUUGGCGAAAGUUGGAAAUUUGAAGGUUUGGAAUGUUCAUAAGUUUGACUUGGAGUUGACUUUGAUGAUAUCAGGUACGGAUUGUGGUUUCAAAAAUUAAAAUAGCUUCGUUAUGUCAUUUGGGACUUGUGUGCAAAAUUUGAGUUCAUUCCGAGUUGAUUUGAUAAGGUUCGGCACGAGUUUUGGAAGUUGAAAGAUUCAAAGUUCAUUAAGUUCGAUUUGAGGUGCGAUUCAUAGUUUUGAUAAUGUUAAGCGUGAUUUGACGCCUCGAGUAAGCCCGUGUUAUGUUAUGGGACUUGUUGGUAUGUUCGGACGAGGUCCCGAGGGGCUCGGAUGAGUUUCUGAUAUGUUUGGAUUGUGUUGCGCUCGUUUUUGAUGUUUCGACGUCGUUUCUUCAGCAUAAAUGGUACCACAUUAAGCAAAUGAGCUCCAAUAUCUGUUUUGAUUGAAGCAUUAGAUUCGUAUCGUAAUUUUGGAAUCAUAGAAACUGGAAUCAUCAACUUCGACAUCAUAAGAGAAAUUUAUGGUCAUUUUACUAAGAAUUGGGUUGCUAGAUUUUUCAAAUUAAUUACAAAUUUGCCACUGAAUUCGUAUUUAAAAAUUUGCAUUAUUUCCAAAUAUUGAAACCAAUAUAUCUCCUCCAAUAUAAGGUCAAAUGGAGUAAUUCAAGAGCCUAACUUGACUAGAAUUUCUUAAGGAAUCCAUUUGAGGCAUUAAAAGGAAGUUUCGGGAUUAUUUGUCAUAAGAAACGAGGCAGAACAGUAUUAAAUCGAGGGUUUGGUUCUUCAUAUUUUGAGAUUUGGGGCUCGUAUUGAGGUGAUUCUUGAAGUAAUUUUCAUCACACAGAUUGGGGUAAAUGUUCUAUACUCGGUUUUGAUUAUAUUUUGCGAAUCUAUCUUCAUUUUGGUAAUUGGUUGAUGAAUUUUAAAGAGGAAAUUGGGUUUUUUUUUGUCUAAAAUUUCAUAGAUCGAAUUUUUGAGUUUUGAAUACCGAUUUGGAGUCGGAAUUGAAUGAAACUAGUAUGGUUGGACUCGUAAUUGAAUGAGUUAUCGAAUUUUAUAAGUUUUGUCUAGUUCUGAGAUGUGGACCCGGGUUUGACUUUUUGGCCGAUUUUGGGCUUUUGAGUAAAGAUUCGACCUUUAUCAAUUGGAAUUGUUUUCCUAGGCAUUAUUUGAUAUUCUUGAGUUGCUUUUGGCUAGUUUCGAACCGUUCGGAGAUCGGUACACGCGGGAUGGUAUUUUGGGAGUAUCGUUUGGCUUGCUCAAUAUUGGAUUCGGCU